RNAcentral lists this ribosomal RNA (857 nucleotides) under uncultured Flavobacteriia bacterium. RNAcentral's name for it is "bacterial SSU rRNA". It matches the Rfam family "Bacterial small subunit ribosomal RNA", at positions 58 to 911 of the family's 1533-position model. The record is from RNAcentral. Lineage: Bacteria; Pseudomonadati; Bacteroidota; Flavobacteriia.
CAAGUCGAGGGGCAGCGCAGUGUAGCAAUACAUGGGCGGCGACCGGCAAACGGGUGCGGAACACGUACGCAAUCUACCCAAAACUGAUGAGUAGCCCUCCGAAAGGAGGAUUAAUACAUCGUAACCUAUUAGAGUAGCAUUACUUUAUUAGUAUAGCUCCGGCGGUUUUGGAUGAGCGUGCGCCUGAUUAGGUAGUUGGCGGGGUAACGGCCCACCAAGCCUACGAUCAGUAACUGGUGUGAGAGCACGACCAGUCACACGGGCACUGAGACACGGGCCCGACUCCUACGGGAGGCAGCAGUAAGGAAUAUUGGUCAAUGGAUGCAAGUCUGAACCAGCCAUGCCGCGUGAAGGAUGAAGGUCCUCUGGAUUGUAAACUUCUUUUACAAGGGAAGAAACCGGAAUUUUCUUGUUCCGUUGACGGUACCUUGGGAAUAAGCACCGGCUAACUCCGUGCCAGCAGCCGCGGUAAUACGGAGGGUGCAAGCGUUAUCCGGAUUCACUGGGUUUAAAGGGUGCGUAGGUGGGUCUGUAAGUCAGUGGUGAAAUCUCCAAGCUUAACUUGGAAACUGCCGUUGAUACUAUAGACCUUGAAUGCUGUGGAGGUGAGCGGAAUAUGUCAUGUAGCGGUGAAAUGCUUAGAUAUGACAUAGAACACCAAUUGCGAAGGCAGCUCACUACCCAGAUAUUGACACUGAGGCACGAAAGCGUGGGGAUCAAACAGGAUUAGAUACCCUGGCAGUCCACGCCCUAAACUAUGGAUACUCGACAUACGCGAUACACUGUGUGUGUCUGAGCGAAAGCAUUAAGCAUCCCACCUGGGAAGUACGACCGCAAGGUUGAAACUCAAAGGAAUU